GAAACACCCUUAUGGGGCAGGACUUGCUUCAGUGGGGCUUUGGUGCUCACUGAGUCUGCCUCCUGAGUGUGUCCCU
This 76-nucleotide microRNA precursor is filed under the name Myotis brandtii (Brandt's bat). RNAcentral describes it as "mir-9229 microRNA precursor family". It matches the Rfam family "mir-9229 microRNA precursor family". The record is from Rfam by way of RNAcentral. Lineage: Eukaryota; Metazoa; Chordata; Mammalia; Chiroptera; Vespertilionidae.